AUUGAACGCUGGCGGCAUGCCUUACACAUGCAAGUCGAACGGCAGCGCGGGAGCAAUCCUGGCGGCGAGUGGCGAACGGGUGAGUAAUAUAUCGGAACGUGCCCAGUAGUGGGGGAUAGCCCGGCGAAAGCCGGAUUAAUACCGCACGAGACCUGAGGGUGAAAGCGGGGGAUCGCAAGACCUCGCGCUAUUGGAGCGGCCGAUAUCAGAUUAGCUAGUUGGUGGGGUAAAGGCCUACCAAGGCAACGAUCUGUAGUUGGUCUGAGAGGACGACCAGCCACACUGGGACUGAGACACGGGCCCAGACUCCUACGGGAGGCAGCAGUGGGGAAUUUUGGACAAUGGGCGCAAGCCUGAUCCAGCAAUGCCGCGUGC
Molecule: ribosomal RNA, 375 nt
Filed under: uncultured bacterium
Lineage: Bacteria
Description: bacterial SSU rRNA
Rfam family: Bacterial small subunit ribosomal RNA
Source: RNAcentral